AGUUCUUUUGAAGGAAACAAGGGGCUAUGUGGGUUUCCGCUGAACAGAACUUGCAAGAAUAAUUCAGCAGAUGCACCUUCUGAACCAGAAGUUGAAGAGGAAGAAUUCAUUUCAAUGACGGAGAUUUAUGUAAGUGCUAUGUUGGGAUUUAUUGUUGGUAUUGGGAUCAUCUUCCUACCACUUCUGUUCUCAAAAAGAUGGAACCAGUCGUACAACAGAAUAAUUAACAGAUUAAUUUUAAGGAUAUUUCAGCAGCAAAAUCAAGAAAAGAAAACUAGUAGCAGUAGUGUAGCAUCUUGGAAAAAGGCAGCAGGGAAAUCAAGAGGCAGACAUUAAUUUCACAGGAUGUAACACUUCCUUGCAGCAUGCUGCUCACUAUUAGUACUUCUAAUUGUUUCCACUAUGAGUUAUCUGUGUUUGUUUACCUUUCAUGAUUCAUUUUAGUUGCUUCUUAUUACAUAGAAGAACACAAAGCAAUCUUGCAUUCUGUUUUAGGUAACGGUCAGUGAAUAGCCAUAACUAAACUGAUAACAACCUUUCUCAUUUUUUAAGAAACAAAAGCCAACUAGGCCAUUUUCUAAGUACAAUAUAGUUUAUACAAGUUCUCCCUUAUCUUCGAAGUUAGAGUCGUUCUGCGCAGACAAUAAGACUUCUUGAAGUUCCUCACUGAUGUCUUUAUCGCCAUCCUGCUCUUCAGCCACUUCUUGUUGGGAGAACUUAUCCUGCCCUUCUCAGACAACGUCAACUGAGAUUUGACAGGCCGAUGACAAAUACCAGUUUUCUUUUAAAAUAAUUCCUUCUGAGUUUUCCAGUCAUCAGCUGUCUUCUUGACCAUGUCUCCUAUCAAUGUCUGGUUCUGUGUUAUGUGCUUUAUGUUUUCUACAUCCACCAUGUCACUAGCCCCUUUGAUAGCUAGAUCUUUGGCCUGUGCAUAUUCUGCCGAUUUUUGCUUGAGCAAAUCCACCUCAUAUCCAUGUGGGUGAAGUGCUCAAUCCGGCUAUUUGCAAAUAACUUUUGCACGCUAUUUGGAUACUUGCAUUUUGUAUUUCUUCCAGUUCAUCAUCUCCCCGAUGCCGAGGUUUCAUAUACAUCCACAAAGCCAAAAAGAAACAUGUUCCUAUCUAGUAUAUGUUUGACUAGAGCUGGGACUAGUUUAACAUCUUUGGCCUUUGCCUUAGCGACAAGACUUCUAAGAUUCUUCAACUCUCCCAGAGAUAUAUAAAUCUUGAAAGGAGGCAGGCCUGAAUGGCCGUCUCAUAAAGGCAAUAUAAUCCACCUAGUCUCCUUAAAAGAGAAUGAGUAGAGACUAUGUAACCACUGCAGUAUGCAUAGAGUGAUUGUAUAAAGCAUGCCUGAUCUUUAGAUGGACUAUAGGAGAACUUUUUAGAAAUCCACACUCUUCAUUUCUGCAAAAGUAGGAGAUCCACCCUUGGCAAACUCAUUUAUAUGCUCCUCGAUGUCUAAUUUGAAUGGCACAAUGUCCUUGUUGACUUCUUUUUCUUUUUUUUCUUUUUUGUCCUUGUUGACCGCCUUGACAUCAAAUUUUCAAAGGCAUUUGACAGCUUGUUGAACCUUUAAGCUUCCUGCUUAACCCUAAUUCUCUCCUUGCAAAUCCUUUAUGUCCAUUAUCCACGCUAAAUGGCUCCUGCACAAUUUUUGCCUGAAAGUGUAUGAUUUGGACAAAAGUUCAUCUACUAUACAGUAGAUAAUGUGGUACACUGGUGUGGGUACUUCACCCUUAACUAGAGGUUUCAGGUUCGAGCCCUGGAUAUGGAGAAAAUCAUGUUGGGAGCGCCACCCCGAAUGGGCCCUGCAGUGCGCAGUCCGAAUUUAGUCGAAGCUCCAAUGUGGGCUCCAGACACCGGAUGGAAAACCAAAAAAAAAUAAAAUGUAUUAAUGCAUAUUCAUGUAACGUUCUCAAAAGUAAACCAAAGUAUAUUCGAUCAGACUUCACAUUUGAUUUGAAAUUAACAGAAAAAUCAAUUCACGAAACAGAGUUUUGAGCUUGAAAACCUUGAUUAUGAAGGAUUCAGAGUUGAUUUCUAUGAACAAAGACAGCAUCCGAACUCAGAUAGUUCCUUCGAAUUCACAAGUCUGAAUGUUAAAUUAUGUCUUAAUCCUAACUCACCCACAAGUCUUACAAGGAGUCCAUCUAUCUCAAUAACCAGUAAUGUGGAAUUUUUGCUUUAACACCCACCUCACGCCCAGUGCCCUGUUGCGUGGACACUUUUGGGCAAUUUUUUACCACCUCACGCUUAGUGAUGUCAGUGCUUAGCAUCUUGUGCGUGGACAAUAAUUUGGGCAAUUUUUGAUUUUUUUUUUUUUUUUGGGCCGGUGAGAUAGCCUUGUUCUAAUAUCAUGUUAAAUUAGGUUUAAGCCUAAUUCACAUCCCAAAAACUAACUCUAACAGAGGAGUAUUGUUCAAACCUUAUAAGAGUCCACCAUCUCAUUAACCAUGACUUUUUGCUUUUAACACUGAAUAGCACACAAACUUUCAUGGUGGACAUAUUUAAGCUGAUCAACGAUCAAUCUGCAAAAAAAAAACAUCUAUGUAUACACGUAUUUGAUCAACGAGCUAUGAAGGUUUUCCCGCCAAAAAAACUUCGAGAAAGAGGGAAAAUGCCCAAGAAACGCGUUUGGUGUGUGUUUAUAAAAGAUUUGAAACCUACUAUUAAUAAGUACUACUAAUAAAUUUGUCAAUUUUAAUUUAAGAUUAACCCAGAUUACUCCAUUCAUCUCAAAAAUAAUUGAAUUGUUUCACCUCAUUUGAUAUUCAAAUUUCAAUUAUAUUUCGGUUGUCUCAAUUUAUAUAACAUCAGGUAAAUAAUAUUACUCCUGCUAUCCCAUAUUUUUUGUUUAGUGUGACAUAUUUUAUUUCUUAGUUUAUCAAAAAAUAAUAAUUAGAAAACUAAGAAAACAUUGUCAAUCUCAAUUUCUGAAUCAAAGGAGGGAAUACCGUAUUUAUAAAGUUAGAUAUGAGAUGUUAAUUUCACAUAGUACAAAGUACAAACUAAGGAGUAAGGAUGCUGUUCAAAUAACAAUGCUUGGGUUUUACACAGCUUAUGAUUGGAGUAUUUAUUUUUGUCAGAUGUUUUGUUUCUUACUUAAUAUAUAUAUAUAUUUGUGACACGUUUCAACAAAAAAAAAAAAAAAAACUAAUGAUGGGAAUAUAACUUUCUUACUACUAUAUACUAAGAUAAUUUCACAUGUAAAUAUAGACAAUAGUCAAAACAAAUAUAAGCAACAUCCAGUGGAAAACCGUGUAGGUCCACACUCCAGUUUCCACUGUCUAUCAAUUUCAAAAAUAAAUUGAUAUUAUAAGUAGACACGCGAUGUCAGCGUAUUUAAAAUAAUACAUAAAUUAAUCAUCUUGCUUUACUCAUGUUUGGUUGGCGCUAGUAUUUAAAAUAGGCAAAAAAUGGAUCUGUUAGCCCAAAAAAAUAAUUAUUCAAACAAAUCCUGCUGUUUAUUUGCGAGGAUUUUGCUAUUUUAUACGUUUCAGAUCUGAAGAAACUUGGAACUUCUUUUUCUGUUGAGAGUCCAAAUGAGAAGUGAAAUGUUUUCCCAGCUUUUCUUGAUCCUUCUACUCUCCAUCUGCUGUAAAACGAGUGAUGUAGUGGCAGCUAAUUCCAGUAAAUGUCUUGAGGAUCAGAAGAUGUUGCUGCUGCAGCUGAGAAAUAAGCUUACUUAUGAUUAUGAAAUAUCUACCAAGCUAGUGAAGUGGAGCCAGAUGAUUGACUGCUGUCAAUGGGAGGGUGUCACUUGCAACGGUGAAGGCCAAGUUAUUGGUCUUGACCUUAGUGCUGAAUCAUUCUCGGGCAGCAUCAAUCCGUUAGCUAAUCUCAAGUAUCUCUCUGUUAUCCGUCUUGAUGGGAACAAUUUAUCUGCACCAUUUCCAGAGUUCUUCGCGGAAUUCACCAAUCUAACUGUCUUGAGUCUAAGUUCCUGCAACUUGAUAGGAGAAGCACCUCAGAAGAUAUUCCAGGUACCAACUCUACAGACAAUUGACUUAUCAGUAAACGAUAUGCUUGGGGGUUCUUUACCUGAAUUUCCUUCAAAAGGAUCUUUACAAUCACUGGUGCUUACUGCUACAAAAUUUUCAGGAAUUUUACCCGAGUCCAUAGGGAACCUUAGGAAGUUGUCGCGUGUUGAACUUAGAGCUUGUAAUUUUAUAGGUUCAAUUCCAUCUUCUAUGGAAAAUCUAACCCAGCUUGUUCUUCUGGAUUUCGAGUUGAAUAGCUUCACGAGUUCAUUUCCAUCUUUUAAGCUGUCCACAAAUCUCACUCGUAUAUACUCUGCUGGAAAUAGAUUGACAGGUAUAUCAUCCGACUGGCAAGGCCUUGAGAAUCUUGAGUAUCUUGACUUGAGUAACAAUUCAAUUUCUGGUCUCAUUCCAGCAUCAUUGUUUUACCUACCCUCACUUUCAGAUUUAGUUCUGUCCAACAACAAGUUUUCUGGCCAAAUAACUGAAUUACAAAAUGUGAUUUCUCCACUAACAAGUCUUGACUUGAGUUCCAACAAAUUGGAAGGGCCAAUACCUGAGUUUUUAUUUGACCUGCAUGAUCUUUACGGUCUUUCACUUUCAUUCAACAAGUUUAACGGUACUGUACAGUUGAAGAAGUUCACAAACAUCAAUAAACUUGUAGAUCUUGAUCUGUCCCACAACAGUAUAUCAGUUGACACAAAUAUAAGUGAGUCGGACCUUGCCCUGCUACCCCAGCUGAACAGUUUCAUGUUAGCGUCAUGCAAUCUGCAGAAUAUUUCCUUCCUCAAGAACCAAUCAAAGUUGUCGAUGUUAGAUCUCUCAAACAGCCAACUUACGGGUGAAAUACCAAACUGGCUGGUGGAAAUCAAUGAUGGACUUCUCCGUUUUCUGAAUCUUUCUUUCAAUCAAUUCACACAUCUUCAAGAACCUUAUACAUUUGGCUUCCUGAAUUUCCUUGAUCUGCAUUCAAAUCUGCUCACUGGGGUUAUUCCAGUACCACCACGUGCAGCUGCUUAUAUUGACUUCUCCAACAAUAACUUUUCUACUUUUCCACCUGACUUUGGCAAUUAUCUAGUAACUGCUCGGUUCCUCUCAAUUGCAAACAACAAAGUUAUCGGUAGUAUCCCUUCUUCGAUAUGCAACUCCAGCUAUCUUGAAGUACUUGAGUUGUCUAACAACAGUUUGAAUGGCAUAGUACCACCAUGUUUAGCAGAAAAGAGCAGCACACUGAAAGUAUUGAACCUGGGAAAGAACAAUCUCAUAGGAAAUAUACCUGAAAAGUUUUCUUAUAAUUGUGAAUUACAGAGCCUUGACCUCAGUCAGAAUCACUUAACAGGUGUGCUUCCUCGUUCUUUGUCCAACUGCACAAAGUUAAAGGUAUUAAAUAUUGGAAACAACAAGAUCAAGGAUACUUUCCCCUGCUGGUUGAGGAACAUGUCAGAUCUUCGUGUACUUGUAUUACGCUUCAAUGGUUUCCAUGGGAACAUUGAUUGCUCACGAGUGAGUUCCAACUGGACCGCUCUUCAAAUCAUGGACCUAGCUUCCAACAAUUUAGGGGGUGUUCUUCCACGAGGUUCAUUCUUGGAGCUAAAAGGAAUGAUGGCGGACCCAUCUUUAACACAUUCACGGUCUGAUAUCUUGCAUUUUGAGUCUCAAUCUGUUAGGUCAGUAUACUAUCAGGACAGAGUCACUCUUUCUCUUAAAGGACAAGAUGCUACACAGACAAAGAUCUUUCUCUUCUUCACCUCCAUUGACUUUUCAAGCAACAAUUUUGUGGGGAACAUACCAGAGAUAGUUGGAGAUCUCAGAUCACUUAAUCUUCUCAAUAUUUCACACAACAAUCUCACGGGUCAAAUCCCUCCAUCAAUUGGAAAAUUGAAGCAAUUGGAAUCACUGGACCUCUCAUUCAACAAAUUAGGUGGCAAUAUCCCAGAAAAUCUUGCUAGCCUCACAUUUCUUUCCCUCAUAAAUUUAUCAUAUAAUGAAUUGGUUGGAAUGAUUCCACGAGGCAACCAAAUUCAAACAUUUGGAGAAAGUUCUUUUGAAGGAAACAAGGGGCUAUGUGGGUUACCGCUGAACAGAACUUGCAAGAAUAAUUCAGCAGAUGCACCUUCAGAGCCAGAAGUUGAAGAGGACGAAUUCAUUUCAAGGACGGAGAUUUAUGUAAGUGCUAUAUUGGGAUUUGUUGUAGGUGUUGGGAUCAUCUUUCUACCACUUCUGUUCUCAAAAAGAUGGAACC
Molecule: long non-coding RNA, 6224 nt
Filed under: Solanum tuberosum (potato)
Lineage: Eukaryota; Viridiplantae; Streptophyta; Magnoliopsida; Solanales; Solanaceae
Description: long non-coding RNA (STUB_LNC002270)
Source: RNAcentral